CUGCUUGGAAGUAAAUACAGAAUUUCCAUUAUCCUGGAGUGCAUCAUUGAAAGGGAGCUCAUUGAAAUCAUUAUGGUUCAAGGAUGAGGUGGAGCCAACAAGUGCAGCAAUGAAAAUUGUGAGCAAUUAGUUAGAAGGUUGUAGGACAAGGUCCAUUCCUUUGGUUCAGAACAUUUUGCUUCCGAAACGAAGUAGUGCUGAAAUCAAUGCUCGAGUAAAUCUUGAGAUGUAUGCAGUUACUGAGUUGCUUGAUCUGGACAUUUUCAUACCUAAGGUAGUUGUCCACACUUCCCUAUCUGA
Lolium perenne is the source of this 300-nucleotide non-coding RNA. Lineage: Eukaryota; Viridiplantae; Streptophyta; Magnoliopsida; Poales; Poaceae. The record is from RefSeq and is a predicted model, not a curated record.